GAGGGCUUGGUGGUGUAACCACGGGAGGUGUUGGUGUAGGUGGUGUAACAAUCGGUGGGGUUGGUGUAGGUGGUGUAACAAUAGGUGGUGAUGGUACAACUGGGGGUAGUGGAACAUAAGGUGGAGGGUAAACAAUUGGUGGUUUCACAAUAGGAGGUGUUGGAACAUAAGGUGGAGGGUAAACAAUUGGUGGUUUCACAAUAGGAGGUUUUGGAACAUAAGGUGGAGGGUAAACAAUGGGUGGUUUUGGCACAUAAGGUGGUGUCACCGGUACAACCGGUGGCUUAGGCACAUAUGGCGGUGUAACUGGUACAACAGGUGGUUUUGGCACAUAAGGUGGAGAAACAACUGGUGGCUUAGGAACAUAAGGUGGUGGUUUCACAACUGGUGGUUUAGGCACAUAAGGAGGUUUCACAAUUGGUGGUUUGGGAACAUGGGGUGGUUUUGGCACAUAAGGUGGUUUCACAAUUGGUGGUUUUGGAACAUGGGGUGGUUUCACAACUGGUGGUUUUGGCACAUGAGGUGGUUUAACCACUGGAGGCUUGGGAUAGUGAGGUGGUUUUGGUGAUGGCUUGGGGGGUGGACAUGGUUCCGGGCCAUGAGAUGGAGGGUACUUUGGGGGGUUAUGAACUG
This 633-nucleotide long non-coding RNA is filed under the name Lotus japonicus. RNAcentral's name for it is "long non-coding RNA (LJAP_LNC000450)". Lineage: Eukaryota; Viridiplantae; Streptophyta; Magnoliopsida; Fabales; Fabaceae. The record is from RNAcentral.